CAGCCGCCGCGGUAAUACGAAGGUGGCAAGCGUUGUUCGGAAUCACUGGGCUUAAAGCGCACGCAGGCGGAACAGAAAGUGUCUUGUGAAAGCCCCCGGCUUAACCGGGGAAUUGCUCGGCAAACUCCUGUUCUUGAGUCAAGUAGGGGUACAUGGAACUCUUAGUGGAGCGGUGGAAUGCGUAGAUAUUAAGAGGAACGCCAAUGGUGAAGACAGUGUACUGGGCUUGUACUGACGCUGAGGUGCGAAAGCGUGGGGAGCGAACGGGAUUAGAUACCCCGGUAGUCCACGCCGUAAACGAUGUCUACUAGGUUGUGGAGGUUCUGACACACUCACAGCCGAAGCAAAAGUGUUAAGUAGACCGCCUGGGGAGUACGGUCGCAAGGCUAAAACUCAAAGGAAUUGACGGGGGCUCACACAAGCGGUGGAGCAUGUGGAUUAAUUCGAAGCAACGCGCAGAACCUUACCUGGGUUUGACAUGUUUGGAUGCUAACUGGGAAACCAGGGAUGCUGCCCUUCGGGGUGAAACCUACACAGGUGCUGCAUGGCUGUCGUCAGCUCGUGUCGUGAGAUGUCGGGUUAAGUCCUUUAACGAGCGAAACCCUUGCCGUUAGUUGCCAGCGGGUAAUGCCGGGGACUCUAGCGGGACUGCCGGUGUCAAACCGGAGGAAGGCGGGGAUGACGUCAAGUCCUCAUGGCCUUUAUGCCCAGGGCUUCACACGUGCUACAAUGGUUACUACAAAGCGACGCAAGACCGCGAGGUGGAGCAAAUCGCAAAAAAGUAGCCUCAGUUCGGAUUGUAGGCUGACAACUCGCCUGCAUGAAGUUGGAAUCGCUAGUAAUCGCGUAUCAGCUACGACGCGGUGAAUGUGUUCCUGAGCCUUGUACACACCGCCCGUCAAGUGAUGGAAGUCGGGAGCACCCGAAGUCAGAUUGCUAACCAGUUUACUGGAAGCGUCUGCCGACGGUGAGUUCGAUGACUGGCACUAAGUCGUAACAAGGUAACCGUA
This 1010-nucleotide ribosomal RNA is filed under the name uncultured Planctomycetota bacterium. RNAcentral's name for it is "bacterial SSU rRNA". It matches the Rfam family "Bacterial small subunit ribosomal RNA", at positions 509 to 1504 of the family's 1533-position model. The record is from RNAcentral. Lineage: Bacteria; Pseudomonadati; Planctomycetota.